ACUCCCAUGGGGUGACGGGAGGUGUGUACAAUGCCCGGGAACGUAUUCUCCGCGGCGGCUGGGACAAUCAAUAUUGAAUUCUAUCCACAAUGUACACGAUGAAUGCUAGGUGUAGGAGGUAUCGACCCCUUCUGUGCCGAAGUCAACACAAUAAGCAUUCCGCCUGGGGAGUACGGCCGCAAGGUUGAAACUCAAAGGAAUUGACGGGGGCCCGCACAAGCAGCGGAGCAUGUGGAUUAAUUCGACGCAACGCGAAGAACCUUACCAGGUCUUGACAUCCAGUAAAGCCUGUAGAGAUACAGAGUCCCUUCGGGGGUACUGAGACAGGUGGUGCAUGGUUGUCGUCAGCUCGUGUCGUGAGAUGUUGGGUUAAGUCCCGCAACGAGCGCAACCCUUGUCUUUAAUUGCCAUCAUUCAGUUGGGCACUUUAAAGAGACUGCCGGUGUUAAACCGGAGGAGGGUGGGGAUGACGUCAAGUCCUCAUGGCCUUUAUGCCCUGGCUACACACGUGCUACAAUGGGUGGUACAAAGAGCAGCGAACUCGCGAGAGUAAGCGAAUCUCAAAGAGCCAUCCUCAGUUCGGAUUGAAGUCUGCAACUCGA
Molecule: ribosomal RNA, 602 nt
Filed under: uncultured bacterium
Lineage: Bacteria
Description: bacterial SSU rRNA
Rfam family: Bacterial small subunit ribosomal RNA
Source: RNAcentral